CCUACGGGUGGCUGCAGUAGGGAAUAUUGGACAAUGGGGGCAACCCUGAUCCAGCCAUGCCGCGUGAGUGAAGAAGGCCCUCGGGUUGUAAAGCUCUUUUGUCCGGAAAGAAAAGCAAUCGGUUAAUACCCGGUUGUUCUGACGGUACCGGAAGAAUAAGCACCGGCUAACUUCGUGCCAGCAGCCGCGGUAAUACGAAGGGUGCAAGCGUUACUCGGAAUUACUGGGCGUGGUGCGUGAGGUGGGGGGUGAAAGCCCUGGGCUCAACCUGGGAAUGGCAUUGGAUACUGGCGAGCUAGAGUGCGGUAGAGGGUAGUGGAAUUCCCGGUGUAGCAGUGAAAUGCGUAGAGAUCGGGAGGAACAUCUGUGGCGAAGGCGACUGCCUGGACCAGCACUGACACUGAGGCACGAAAGCGUGGGGAGCAAACAGGAUUAGAUACCCCUGUAGUC
RNAcentral lists this ribosomal RNA (450 nucleotides) under uncultured bacterium. RNAcentral describes it as "partial 16S ribosomal RNA". It matches the Rfam family "Bacterial small subunit ribosomal RNA", at positions 338 to 795 of the family's 1533-position model. The record is from RNAcentral.